Molecule: ribosomal RNA, 401 nt
Filed under: uncultured Pseudomonas sp.
Lineage: Bacteria; Pseudomonadati; Pseudomonadota; Gammaproteobacteria; Pseudomonadales; Pseudomonadaceae
Description: bacterial SSU rRNA
Rfam family: Bacterial small subunit ribosomal RNA
Source: RNAcentral
UUGACAUGCAGAGACUUUCAGAGAUGGAUUGGUGCCUUCGGGAACUCUGACACAGGUGCUGCAUGGCUGUCGUCAGCUCGUGUCGUGAGAUGGUUGGGUUAAGUCCCGUAACGAGCGCAACCCUUGUCCUUAGUUACCAGCACGUUAUGGUGGGCACUCUAAGGAGACUGCCGGUGACAAACCGGAGGAAGGUGGGGAUGACGUCAAGUCAUCAUGGCCCUUACGGCCUGGGCUACACACGUGCUACAAUGGUCGGUACAAAGGGUUGCCAAGCCGCGAGGUGGAGCUAAUCCCAUAAAACCGAUCGUAGUCCGGAUCGCAGUCUGCAACUCGACUGCGUGAAGUCGGAAUCGCUAGUAAUCGUGAAUCAGAAUGUCACGGUGAAUACGUUCCCGGGCCUU